GAUGAACGCUGGCGGCGUGCCUAAUACAUGCAAGUCGAGCGAAUGGAUUAAGAGCUUGCUCUUAUGAAGUUAGCGGCGGACGGGUGAGUAACACGUGGGUAACCUGCCCAUAAGACUGGGAUAACUCCGGGAAACCGGGGCUAAUACCGGAUAACAUUUUGAACCGCAUGGUUCGAAAUUGAAAGGCGGCUUCGGCUGUCACUUAUGGAUGGGCCCGCGUCGCAUUAGCUAGUUGGUGAGGUAACGGCUCACCAAGGCAACGAUGCGUAGCCGACCUGAGGGGGUGAUAGGCCACACUGGGACGGAGACACGGCCCAGACUCCUACGGGAGGCAGCAGGAGGGAAUCUUCCGCAAUGGACGAAAGUCUGACGGAGCAAUGCCGCGUGAGUGAUGAAGGCUUUCGGGUCGUAAAACUCUGUUGUUAGGGAAGAACAAGUGCUAGUUGAAUAAGCUGGCACCUUGACGGUACCUAACCAGAAAGCCACGACUAACUACGUGCCAGCCGCCGCAGUAA
RNAcentral lists this ribosomal RNA (515 nucleotides) under uncultured bacterium. RNAcentral describes it as "partial 16S ribosomal RNA". It matches the Rfam family "Bacterial small subunit ribosomal RNA", at positions 28 to 523 of the family's 1533-position model. The record is from RNAcentral.